Molecule: unclassified non-coding RNA, 457 nt
Filed under: uncultured Lactarius
Lineage: Eukaryota; Fungi; Basidiomycota; Agaricomycetes; Russulales; Russulaceae
Description: sequence contains ITS2
Rfam family: 5.8S ribosomal RNA (bases 1-154)
Source: RNAcentral
AACUUUCGACAACGGAUCUCUUGGCUCUUGCAUCGAUGAAGAAUGCAGCAAAAUGCGAUACAUAAUGUGAAUUGCAGAAUUCAGUGAAUCAUCGAAUAUUUGAACGCACCUUGUGCCCCUUGGUAUUCCGAGGGGCACACCCGUUUGAGUGUCGUGAAAAUCUCAACCUUCUUGGUUUCUUCUGGACACCGAAGGAGGCUUGGACUUUGGAGGCCUUUGCUGGCGUCUCUCGCCAGCUCCUCUCAAAUGAAUUAGUGGGGUCCUCUUUGCCGAUCCUCGACGUGUGAUAAGAUGUUUCCAUGUCUUGGUUUAUGGCUCUGUUGCUUUUGGGACCCGCUUCUAACCGUCUCAACGAGACAACAUUUGAGCGUGUCGAACACUCUUGAACCCACGAACCCUUGACCUCAAAUCGGGUGAGACUACCCGCUGAACUUAAGCAUAUCAAUAAGCGGAGGCU